UGGGGAAUAUUGCACAAUGGGCGCAAGCCUGAUGCAGCAACGCCGCGUGAGGGACGACGGCCUUCGGGUUGUAAACCUCUUUUGGCAGGGAAGAAGCGAAAGUGACGGUACCUGCAGAAAAAGCACCGGCUAACUACGUGCCAGCAGCCGCGGUGAUACGUAGGGUGCAAGCGUUGUCCGGAAUUAUUGGGCGUAAAGAGCUCGUAGGCGGUUUGUCGCGUCUGCUGUGAAAACCCGAGGCUCAACCUCGGGCCUGCAGUGGGUACGGGCAAACUAGAGUGCGGUAGGGGAGAUUGGAAUUCCUGGUGUAGCGGUGGAAUGCGCAGAUAUCAGGAGGAACACCGAUGGCGAAGGCAGAUCUCUGGGCCGUAACUGACGCUGAGGAGCGAAAGCAUGGGGAGCGAAC
Molecule: ribosomal RNA, 406 nt
Filed under: uncultured bacterium
Lineage: Bacteria
Description: bacterial SSU rRNA
Rfam family: Bacterial small subunit ribosomal RNA
Source: RNAcentral